Molecule: long non-coding RNA, 10693 nt
Organism: Siniperca chuatsi (mandarin fish)
Lineage: Eukaryota; Metazoa; Chordata; Actinopteri; Centrarchiformes; Sinipercidae
Exons: 3
Source: RefSeq, a predicted model, not a curated record
GUUCAAGUGCACGGACGUGACGUUCCCGGCGAACUUGAACGUCAGGCGAUGGACGGACACCCGACAUACAAAAACAUGGGCAGGGCCGAGGCACCCGAGUGGGAGUGGGAGUGGGAGGAGGGACGGACGGGACGCGCAAUAACAACACCAAUGGAUGGUCAUUAGAGGGAGAGAGAGAGAGGGGGGGGGGCUGGACAUGAGAAAUAGACCCAGUGGAAGCCAAUGGACACAGAGAUCAGGGGGGCCGGACUAGAGGCACUUGGAGGGAGGGAGGGAGGAGUGUGUGUGUGUAUACGUGUGUGUGCGUGUGUGUGUGUGCGCGCGUAAGUGAGAGAGAGAGAGGCAGAGAUGUCUAAUGAAAGCAAUAUGCAGAGAGAGAAUGAGAGAGAGACAGAGAGAGGGAGAGAGAGGUGGACGCAAAACAGGGCAAGGGAAGCCGCGGACAGGAGCUCACUGGAGGGGGGCGGAUAUAAUACUGCUGCGUGCACUACAGACCGGAGGAGUGUGUGUGUGUGUGUGUGUGUGUGUGUGUGUGUGUGUGUGUGUGUGUGUGUGUGUGUGUGUGUGAACAAAGUCUGUCGCACGUCGUGGCCACUGUUCUCAGUCUGAGAAAUGCUCACCUGGACGCGCGUGUGUAUAGGUCUGUGUCCCUGAAGCGCGUGCACACGAAGGCUGUUAGGCAGAUAGAGAGAAAGAGACGCGCGUGUUAAAAUGACAAGGAGCGCAGCAAACUCUCCGGCUGCAGCGAACAGGACGAACAGGUUGAACAACCAACAGAAAUACAGACACGGGCUAUAACCUGGGUGGCUUCACGUGCGCUUUACAUAUACACAGUGGUCUGCACUGCUCUGCUUACAGAUGAUAAUCACAUCCCGGCCCCGUAAAACAAAGAAAGAAUCCCAUUAUUAUAUGCAACUCCUGAAUAUGCAAUAUUUCCCGUCUUUUUUUUUUUUAGGCUAAUCUAAAAACUAAUAAAGUAUUUAUACAUGUCUAUGAUUUAGGUCUCAUCUUGAGCUAGACUAUGCCCCACAAUAGCGCAUAAUUAUUUAUACUUGUGAUAACUUAAACUCAUACCAAAAAGGGAUAUGUGUUCUUAAGGCUUCACCUUGGCAGAAAAAACAUUUGCACCAUACUCCUUUGAAGAAUCAGUGGAUUUAUUUUUUCCCAACCUAAAGAAGUUUUACUUGUUUCUUUAUUUUUUAUUUCAUUUUAAGAAACUAGAGGAACUCAUGUCUGAUCUUGAGGUCUGGGUCACUUGUGCAUCAGUGUUUGUGCCAUAAAUUAAAAUGCACCCAUUCCAUUGUGGAUAAUGUGUACUGUCUGUAACAUUGGAGGUGUGCGGUGAGUUUGUCUGUAUUGAGGGGGGGGGGCAGUUUUGAAGGGGCACUACAGAGUCCAAAGCCCCUCUACCUGUUAGUCUGUCUCUGUAUCUGUCUGCGUGAAAUCCACACUGCAGCCCCGUGCAGACCGUGGGAGUGCGAGCGGACACAUAAGCGCCCCGUGUAAUAACUUUCAGAUGUGCCUCAGGUUCGAGCUGCAUGCGGUACAGGGGAGGGUGUGUUGGUGGUGGUGGGGGGUGUGGAGAGGAGGGGAAGGAGGAGGAAGAAGAAGAAGAAGAAGAAGAGGAGGGGGAUGAGAUUGUAAAUACUCUUGUAAUAAAGGAGGUUUGGUAAUAUAAGACGCGGGGCUUAAAGCAAAGGCGCCGCGCAGCCCGACGCGAUCCGGGUUUUAGAAAACAGAUAUCAAGUGAGGAGACACGGCGCAAAAUGGGAAGAAGAGAGCCACCGGUGCUGUGUGGACGAGGUUGGAAGAGAGGGGAGGGAUGGUACAGGAGGAGAAGACGGAGAGAUUCACCCGGAAAGCGGCAACCGGCAGCGGCACAGUCCGUAGCUGGAGCAGCAGUGGCGGCGGAGGCAGCGGCGACUCUAGUGGUGCUUCGGAGACCUGGAGCUACGCGCACUGACCGAAGAGGACGCGCACUUAAUACCGAGGGGUGGGCGGGUGGGGGGACAAGAAAGAGGAGGAGGAGGGAGGUGAUGGGAGAGUGACAAAGAGAAGGAGAGAGAGAGAGAGAGAGAGAAGCCGGAGGAGUGGAGGAGGAGGAGGAGGAGGUUCAACGUCAAGGGGGAAAAAUGCAUGACCAGCCUGUUAACCAGCGGCGUCAGCACACCAGAAAGAACUGGCCACGUCCCCGCGUCUCAUGUCAUCGGGCUCCGAAACUUGUGUCCACUCGUGACUGGCUUUCUGGGGACAAAGUGGAGCGAAGGCUGACGACACGUUGUUAUCAUCAGUGAUCACUUCUAAGUUCUCUUUGUUUUCACGCACGACAAACCAUCCUAGAUGAACAGCAUGUACUGUAAUUCCUUUGCAUCUUUCUCUUGUGCCCUCUACAGAAAGACGCUAAAACGACACGUAGGCUGGCUGCCAUUUUCCCAUGAAACAGUCAUCAUCAUAUAAUAAAGUAAGCUAUGGGAGGUUAUUAUACUUUAGAUUUUAAAAUGAUUGCAGCGAAAUGUAUGUAAAGUUACAAAGAAAAGGAGAGGGGGGAAAAAAAGAAGAAAACAAAAAACAUGCCAAAACAAUAUCAGAAAUAAUUUGGACGAAACAAAGAAUAAGUUUAAUAGACAGGGCACAGAAAUGCAAGUUUAUAGAAAAAUUGGUAGAGAUUUGAAGGAAGUCACAAGGCGAAUUUCAACAGGAGCUUGGGAGCUCUGCCAGCAAAUCCGCAAUCUCCCUCAGCUUUAAGUCUUGAUCAGGGGAUUGCAAGCAGAGUUUUGUUGCAGGAUCUGAGGUGCAGGUACUGUAUGGGCACAAGUGUAUGCUGGAUCCAGACCAGGAAGUACUUUGCAAUGAGGCAAUGAGUAAAAACCUUAAAAAUCAGUUUGAAAAUACAAUUUUAAAAAUCAACUGGAAACCAACGCAAAGAGGCCACAUUGAGGGUUUUGUGAUUUAAAUUUUUUUUUUUUUCUGUAAGAGUCUGGCUGCAGUUAAAAGACAUUUUUUCCCUGUAUUUUGGUAGGCUAAUAAAAAGCACAAUGAAGUGCAGUAAGAUCACUGUAUUACUGAUUAUUAUAUUAGGCUGCUAUAAACCCCCAUGAGAACACCAAAAUGAGGCUACAGGCCCAUCAUAUAAAGAUAACUAUUUAUGUUGAGAACAGAACAGUAGGCUACAUGUGGCCGGUGAAAUCCAUAGGGCUUCUAUGACAAUGAGUGCACACACACACACACACCACACACACUAUUAGACAUAGGCUGUAUAGGAAUAUUUCAAAGUGGGUUUUCUGUAGGCUUCUCAGAAUAUCUGAACCAUUAUUUCGGGGGGGUGGUAGACAGUAUAAACACAUUGUUGUUGUCUGAGGUGUGACUCUUAAAUGCUGUUGCACUGCACAGACAACACAGACAGCUAUUUAACUGAAGACAUAUCUAAGGACAAACACCUUCUCUCAUGGCAGCUUUGGGUGAUUUAGUAUUUUGGAAAUGGUUUUAGGAAUAAUAGGGGACUUAACAAGUGACAGGCAAUGAGGAAAAUUUUAGACUUCAGUUCAUUAAAUUUUGUUCUGACAUUUCAGUUCCAUUAAAUGUGAUUAUUUCAUGGCAAAAAAAAAAGUUGGUGUGUACCCCAUGAUUUUAUUCACCAGGGACAACAUAGUGAUGUUUCAUUUUGAAACAUCACUAUGGAACAUUCAUCUCUCUUCUGGAACAGAGAGUAAUCUAAUUCAUUUUCAUGGCAGGAUUUCCAGACUGGGUUGGAGGAAUCUUCAUCAUUUCACAGCUGGACAGCACCGACUGGCUGAUGUCUCGUAUUUAAUAAAAAGCCAAUAUCGGCAUCAGUUUAAAUCAACACAAUAUCCCCAAAUCAUUUAUAGAUUAGAUGAUAAAUUAGGAAUUGUGAUGUCUCAAUCACUCAGUCAUUCUCUGACUGAUCUGUAAACAAAGGAUAAACUGAGGAGAAGAGUUGGUCUCAGUUGCUUAUUGAUGCAUUUCUGAAAAUCACAGCUGAGUUCUGAAGAGUUUGCCAGCCAUCCAAAGUGGCUUGCGAUGAAAUUAAAAAAGUACCGUCCAAAGGAGCCAGCAGGUGUGAAGAUUUCAGCCCACCCACAGAUGUAAACCUUGAUCUUGUAGAGUUUAUAUGAGAAUGGGGUCCUUUUAAGGAAGAAUUAGAAAUAAAUAUGAUCUUUUUUUCCUGUUGUUAAAAAAGUCUUGUGAUGAUCACUUAGGACAAGUUCCGUGAUUUCCACGACAUCAGCCUUGGUUGCAUGCAGUGACUAAGCUGCCUGCUUUUAUUUAGUAGGAUUAAGAGCUUUUAUUUACAACCAUGAAGGUACUUUUACAAGAACAACACAUACGGUACUGCACAUACAACAUAUAGCACACAUACAAUGCUGUAUUGUAGGAAAGGGCAGCUUUUUUGCACAUUCUGAACCUUUACAAUUCCAUGUUCAGGUUUUAGACUUUAUUGUUUUAAUUGCCAUUUUCUUUAUUUCUAUAUUUGUUAUUUUACUCUCUAAAUGGUUUGUCAGCACCACGAUGUAUUUACCUGUCAUGCCUGUAAAGCAAGCUGAAACUGAGAAGAGAAUGAUUUUGACAUUGGUUUUGCAAACUAAUUCAGUUCCCUUAACCCACCACAAGAUGGCAUUAAAGAGUUUAAAAUGUCACUCCUCUACAUGGAGAGUUUCAGCUUCUCUCUUCUAGAUGGACAUACAGAGUGUCAAACAGCUGCUGUGCUGUCACUGAUGUACAUCAGAUUUUAUUUGAGCUUGUGUGGUGGGUUUUAUCAUAUGUUUUACAUAUUUUUAUUAGGUUUUAUAUUUAUAUUGUGUUUUAUGCAUCGUAUGCUCUUGUCUGUGUGUUCUGCGGUUCACCUGGCUGCAGGGACAAUACAGUUGAAAUUAAAGUUUGACUGUGUAUAUACAAAAUAGUUGAUUAGUUUUAAUACCUUUGGCACCAAAAAAAAAAGGUCAUGGCAUAAGUGACAUCAAUUUCCUGUGUACUGAUAAAUGAUAAAGUCUGCCUGAACGCUAUAACAAAUUCUCACUUCUUCACAUACACAUAGGCUACUAUUUGCACAUUGAGGCAUAUGAACUACUACACUGUUCUACACUGUUUUAAACUGAUACCAUUUCACUGAUAAAACUAUGGUUUACAAGACUUUCUCACUGAGGAAAACACAUUGUCUCAUAUCAAGUUGAAAAUGUUAGGUCUGUUCACAUUUUAAAACAAUGAGCUCCUCUGGAUGGUUACAAGAGGACUCACCUCUGCCCUGACGUGUGCUGUUUUGGUUGGUGGUUUGAUCCCCGGCUCUUCGAGUCAAGACACUGAACCUCAGGUUGCUCCUGAUAGCCAGGCCAGCGCCUUGCCGCCAGCGCUGUGUGAGUGUGUGUAUGAACGGGUGAAUGAAAUCCAAUGUAAAGCGCUUUUCCCACUAAGGUCGAAAAGCACAACACCUGCUGGGUAACCUGUUCAACUGCUCGUCAACACAAAUAUCUAAUCAGCCAAUCACGUGGCAGCCAGCAACUCAAUGCAUUAAGGGCACAGUCACACAUGCGCGAAUGUAGGCAAGUAGCCAUCGUCUGCCGAGGCAGAAUUCGUAUCUUGUCGUGCUGAAUAUGGGUCGUGUCUAGAUGGUAACCCUGGAUUUGCGAAAACUCUCGCGAGAUUUAGGUUUAGGCAAUAAAACUACUUGGUUAGGUUUAGGAAGGCGCACAAUGAAGAAACAACACGUACAAAUCUUGCGAGAGUUUCACAAAUCCAUUGUUACCAGCUAGACACGAUCCACUUGCUUAAGCACAGUAGCACUCGACUCUGCACACGUUAGCAGUGGCAGAUACCGAGAGCCGCUUCAAAAUAUUCUUUAACGAUAGCGGAAGGGACUUAUUAACUUAUCAAAUAUUGUUGCUGUAUUGUAAUAAUGUCUGUUUCUGAAUUACUUUAAAGUACUUGACGUAGUAUAAAGAGCAAUGAAGUCUGUAUAGGGAGGAGGUCGUAGUGGAUGAAUGGGUCAAACACAGGACCUUCACCCAGGAGACCUGGGUUUGUGUCCUGCGUGAAACCAAAAGUCAGCGUUGACUUAUUAAUUUUAGACUUUGAUCUGAUGAGAAUUAUUAUUUUCAUUGUUUUUCAGUCGUAGUUUACUUGGUUAGGUUUAGGAAAAGAUCAUAGUAUAAUAAGUCAAAGUUGACUUUUGGUUUCACACGGGACACAAACAACGGUCUCCUAGGUGAAAGUCCUGUUUGUGAAAAGCUUUCUGGCAAAAAGCCCCGAAGAAACAGGACGUACAAAUCUCGCGAGAGUUUCUCAAAUCUAGGGUUACCAUUUAGACACGCCCCUGAAUGUGGGCAGUGCAGGAUGCGGCGCACACGCAAAUCAGUUUGCUGGUCAGUAGUUUGUUUGAGUGGUUGUGGCUGUUGGACAUGAGCAGUUGUGAUAAGAAAACUACAGUCAAUGACAGCCAAGUGGGGUCAACCACACACACUUCUUUGCUAUUGGUUGAGGCUGCGACUUUGCAGGUCACAGUUACCAAAGCUGAACUCCACGCAACGCGAAUGGAAGUGAACGAGAGGCGAAUAUUUGCCGAUGUUAAUUUUGCGAUUGUGCGACCAUGCCCUUAGGCAUGUAAAGUCAAGAGGAUCUGCUGAAGUUCAAACCAAGCAAGUCACCAAGUGACUUUGAACAUGGCAUGGUUGUUGGUGCCAGAUGGGUUGGUUUGAGUGUUUCAGAAACCAAUGAGCGACAGCUCUCUGGGUGAAAAUGCUUCAUUGACGGCAGAUGUCAGAGGAGAAUGGCCAGACUGAUUCAAACUGAUGGAAAGGUAGUCAUAGCCAGAUCUCCACACUUCGUUUUAGCGCUGUGCCAGCGCUGGAGAAAGGUCUGGCUGAACCCAAUAGGCUCAUUCGAGAUGAAUUGCGCCUUGCCUGGAAAGUGGACGAGAUCAGGCGGGAGCAGCAGGUUUCCAACAGCCUUCAAAGAAUAUGCAGGAAGUCACAGAAAUAUUUACAUCCUGUCAGAUCCAUCUGCAGGCUGCCUGUAGUUUGCAGACCGUGUUCGGAUAGCUGUGGCUAAAGAAAUCACAUAUGCGUUCUUGAUCGCUGAUGAAGUUGAAGCAGAAGAGAUCCCCCUACUGUUCCAUGAAGAUGGACAGUAAAAAUAAUAAUAAAUCUACUUUUCACAGUGGUCUAAGUUUGUCUAUCAUAACUUUUUAUUUGUUUAACGAUGCCACUGUUGUGAUUGAGGAGAGAAUCGGAGAAAGAUUGUGCAGAUUUUAGCCCUUGGAAGUCAUUUAUUGAAUAAUUAUAGCCUACAUAGAAAAUGUAUGUAAAGGCACUUUCAUUUAAAAAUCAUAUGACCCUAAAUUUAAGAAAUUGAACUAAUGAAUCAACAGUCCAAACAUUCACACAGCUACAUACAUAGGCUACACAUGGGGAGGAAAAGCAGCAAUUAUGACUACAAGACAUACGUUUCCUGCAGUGAUAGACAAUCAGUUCCAUAACAAUUGAGGUUUCUGUCGCUUCACUAUAGUUACAACUAUGGGAGUCUUGGACUAAACAUAUUCCACUUCUCUGGCUGACCGAAGUUGUCAUCAAGUUGUAAUUAGGCUUUCUUAUAAUCUUUAUUAAUUGAUUUAUUUAUAUUUGUUUGUAAUUCUAUAUAGUCUAUGUGGAAAUGUGAGUGUAUCUGGCAUUGUAUUCUAUCCUUUGUUCUUUUUAUGUCUGCCUUGUAAAGCACUUUGUAAUUGCUCGUUUUGAUAAGCGCUACAUAAAUAACCUUUAUUAUUAUUAUACAUAUAUAUUAUAAAUAUAAAAUAAUAUAUUAUAUACAACCACACCAGAUAUGUUUGUUAACAGAUUAAACCUUGAUUGCACAACAUGAGACUAACCUACAAUCUUGCAUUAAAUAUUACAAUUACACAGAAAAUUAGGAUUUUCUCCAAAACGUGGUGUUUGUGGUCAGAACUAAGAGCCAAUCAGCUCUUUGAUCAGGCGACAGCCAGGCGUUUCCCAUCAUGCCCUGGGUCUUGCAGUCGUUGGAGAGCAUACUGUAUAUAACGAUGGACGACAUGUCUCCACUUCCUCCCACUGUACAGACAUGAAGCCAAAAUAUCCGAAAACACGGGCGCUGCCAUCUUGCACUGGUGACGUAAUUUGGAGCCAGAGUCUGCACAGUAGUAAUUGGGGUUGGACCCGGCAGACUCAAUCGCACAAGAUUAUCAAAGAUAAUCAUAAAUAAUAACUUUAAUGAGUAAAGUCAUCAGGGACACCACUCUUCUUAAAGAAGAGAAAUGAUUGAAUUAAUUGAUCCAGUCUCAUAAAAUACACAAAACCAUCAAUUUGGAACUCAGAUUAAUAAUUAAAUUAAUAACUAGAACCAAAAUGACCAUUAAUAGGUAGUGAGCUGAAAGAUUUUGGGUCCAUCAUAGAAGAGGUUGGCAAAUUACUCACUCUUGUGAAACAUUAAAGAUAUCAGCAUAAUUGUACACAAGCAUCUUCCUGUUUAGCCCUCUGCUAACUUGAAUGGGGAUAAAAUGAUUUAAUAGUGCGGCUCUUCUAGACUUUCCAAAUGUUAUCAGACCGAAUGGAUCAAAUUCUGACAGUGAAACGAGUCAUUUAGCGGGGGUUGUGACACUAAAAAAAAAAAGAAAAUCCACUGUUUUACAGCUGCUUCUUUCACAAUGUAAGUCUAUGGGCCAAAGUAUUUUGGGGCCAGUGUGCAUCACGUGACGGACCUGGAAGUUGUAAUUCCACGGUUUGGCCACUAUGUUAAAUUGGCUCUUUGAAGGGAACCGGAUCUUAUGGCUCCGUUCCUUUCCGAGAGCCGGCUCUUUCGUCUCCCAAACGGCUCUUCGUUUAGUACCACCUCUGCUGGUCACUGCCUAAGUUACGUUCUUAUUUGUUGCGAGAAAUAAAUAUGCGAGAUUCUUCAUCUGCAAUACAUUGAAAUAUUGUCAUAUUGAUGGUUAAAAAGUGGGAUAUGUCAAGAAUAACUAUCCUUGUUAUAGCCUAUAACAAAAAUAACACCCUACUAAUGAAAUAAUAUGGUUAAUAAAUCCUUACACAACUCUAUAUAGACACAUACAGUAUACUUCAAUUUAACUCUAUUGCUCUAAUGUGUGUGUGUUUCACCAGCAGUUUUAGCUGUUAGCCAGCAUUAAGCCAGGUAAGGUAAGUCUCUGCUAUAAACUUCAUUAUAUACUGGGCAGUGUUUGUAACUGACAUUUGUAAGCUAAUAGCUGUAUUCUGUCAAGACUGUUGGUUAUGUGUGAACUUUUGCUUAUGUGGUGUGCAUUCAACUGUGUUUAUUUAUAUUUUUUGAGUUUAUGUACAUUCUUGGCACUUCAAACUGUGAUACGUGGUAUAGAUAGAUUUUGCCAGCUGUUUAACACACACACAGACAGACAGACUUACAUCUUGUUUCCUCUCCUAGAUAAAAGGAGGAGGAUCCAGAAGCUGCGCUUGAUUGGCUGCUUCCAUUGGUGGCUGCAGGGGCAGAACGUUGACGGGUGCGAAACUGAGAAGAGGAAGAAGAGCGUGGGGAGAUACAUAACGGAAAAAAUACAGGACAUUGUUAAAAAACACAAAAAACAUUAAGUGUGUGUGUGUGUGUGUGUGUGUGUGUGUGUGGGGGGGGGGUUCUUUAGUUAUGUCAUGAAUAUGAAUAUUAAGUGAUAAGCACUGCUAUGGCUACUGUUAACAAAAUUAUUGAUAUUAACAUUAAUAGCUUGUUGUUGCUGUUGUCACUGUUUUUAUUAUUGUUAUAUAUUGUGAUAAUUGUAGUUGUUUAACUUAACUAAACAUUUUUAGGCCUCAGUAAGCAAGCAAGGAAUGAAAAGGGCAAUUAGUAACUUGAUUCUUGAUUAUGAAGUUGUUUUUGUCUGUGUUCAGCAAUUUAUGGUGGCUUACAAUUAAAAAAAUGACAUUUAAGAAAUGUGUUGGAAGUUGGACGGAUCUGCUGAAAUUAUACAGAAAUCGGGGAGUAUGUAGAUGGUUAAAAAUGUACUUCAGUUUACUGGCCUGCAUAAGUUAGGCAAAAACUAGUUGGAAAUUAAGCUGUAGCAAUUCAGUUAAAUGCCUGCAGAAGUUACAUAUAAGCUAAGCGUUACAAUUCACGGCUGCUGCCCUGAUGUGAAUAUUAGAUAUAAAUGACGUCUGUGUGUUAAGUAAAUGGUAUCACUUAAAUUACUGAUCUGAUCUCUGGAACAUAUAUAGAAAGAGUAAAGGGAAAGAACACUGGUUAAAAUUCCUAUUGAAGGUACAUGCCAAGUUAUUUCUAUAAGAUACUGCAUCAGACUGAGCGCAACCCUCAGCAACUCAAGUGAAACACUGAGUCUAGACCUUCAACUAUUCCAUCAUUGACAACAAGGCUAUCAAGUAUUGUGCUUGGUAAGGCUAUGAGUUGUUAACCCCCAGAUUCUGUUUUGCCAUGGACCUACACUCAUUGCCUAUCAUAAGCAGGUAAGGACAGCUUAGAGCCCCGCUCUUGGUUGGAUAUCAAAACUGCCCCCAAAAGAAAUUUCAAAUACGUUACUUGCUUAUUCCCACCUACUUACCAUGAAAUUUGCAGACCCGUAAAAUGAAGUGUUACCACAUAUUGCACUCCAAUGUUAGUAUGCACCAUGUGUCAGUCACUGCUUUAUAUGCUUGUCUGUUAGAGGUAAUUUGUCCUUUUAUCUGUUCUAUGACAAGAAUAAACACCAAAAUUA